This 833-nucleotide ribosomal RNA is filed under the name uncultured bacterium. RNAcentral describes it as "bacterial SSU rRNA". It matches the Rfam family "Bacterial small subunit ribosomal RNA", at positions 8 to 847 of the family's 1533-position model. The record is from RNAcentral.
AGAGUUUGAUCCUGGCUCAGGAUGAACGCUGGCGGCGUGCUUAACACAUGCAAGUCGAACGAUGACUUUUGUGCUUGCACAAAAUGAUUAGUGGCGAACGGGUGAGUAACACGUGAGUAACCUGCCCUUAACUUCGGGAUAAGCCUGGGAAACCGGGUCUAAUACCGGAUACGACGGAUUCCCGCAUGGGGGUCCGUGGAAAGCUUGAUGCGGUUUUGGAUGGACUCGCGGCCUAUCAGCUAGUUGGUUGGGGUAAUGGCCCACCAAGGCGACGACGGGUAGCCGGCCUGAGAGGGUGACCGGUCACACUGGGACUGAGACACGGCCCAGACUCCUACGGGAGGCAGCAGUGGGGAAUAUUGCACAAUGGGCGAAAGCCUGAUGCAGCGACGCCGCGUGAGGGACGAAGGCCUUCGGGUUGUAAACCUCUUUCAGCAGGGAAGAAGCGAAAGUGACGGUACCUGCAGAAGAAGCGCCGGCUAACUACGUGCCAGCAGCCGCGGUAAUACGUAGGGCGCAAGCGUUAUCCGGAAUUAUUGGGCGUAAAGAGCUCGUAGGCGGUUUGUCGCGUCUGCUGUGAAAGCCCGGGGCUCAACCCCGGGUCUGCAGUGGGUACGGGCAGACUAGAGUGAUGUAGGGGAGACUGGAAUUCCUGGUGUAGCGGUGAAAUGCGCAGAUAUCAGGAGGAACACCGAUGGCGAAGGCAGGUCUCUGGGCAUUAACUGACGCUGAGGAGCGAAAGCAUGGGGAGCGAACAGGAUUAGAUACCCUGGUAGUCCAUGCCGUAAACGUUGGGCACUAGGUGUGGGGGGACAUUCCACGUUUUCCGCGCC